This 335-nucleotide unclassified non-coding RNA is filed under the name Hevea brasiliensis (rubber tree). The record is from RNAcentral. Lineage: Eukaryota; Viridiplantae; Streptophyta; Magnoliopsida; Malpighiales; Euphorbiaceae.
GAAGGAAAGAAUCACUAUGCCAACCGUUUAUAAAAAAGAAAAAGAAUGAACAGUAAGAAGAAAAAAGGAUGAAGAAUCUAACAUGAACAGUCUCACACAACCUAUAUACACAAGGAACAAGCUGGUAUAUAGAAUGUUUUGCAGAUUUGAUUUUAAUCAGAAACGUGCACUAUAAGCAAUUCAACCUAUAGCCAGCAAAUCAAGAGUUUACAUCAGUGAUAUAUCAUCGAAGAAUUCAGAGAUUUUCUGGCAAUUUAAAGUUUUGUGAUCCACAUAUUUGAUGAGAGCCAGAUUCCACAAAGAGCGCUACGCCACAUUUGCUGCUAUUGAAGCCA